This is a non-coding RNA of Vicia faba (fava bean), 306 nucleotides long. NCBI's taxonomy places the organism in Eukaryota, Viridiplantae, Streptophyta, Magnoliopsida, Fabales, Fabaceae. The record is from the annotation of a GenBank genome assembly.
AUGCCUAUACCUGAUUGGUGUUCUCUUCCACUAGUUCUUGCAAAUUAUCACUUGCUUCUGGGUCGUUUCUUCCUUGAACUCUCGAUGUCGUCACUGGAUCAUGAAUUCCGUGAGUUAUGGUUCCGAUUGAGGCUUCGACUUGAAGUGGAUGGUUUAAAAGAUAAGGUUGUAGCGUCGCGGUUUAUGGUGGUGACCUGUAGUAGUUAUAGCCACAAGUAUUUAAUCAGAGGCGAAGAGGAAAGAAGGACCUCGCCGCGUUCGAUUCUGAGAAGAAGAGGAUCGUCAAAGAGGUUGUUGGUUUUAUGA